Molecule: non-coding RNA, 198 nt
Organism: Klebsiella pneumoniae subsp. pneumoniae
Lineage: Bacteria; Pseudomonadati; Pseudomonadota; Gammaproteobacteria; Enterobacterales; Enterobacteriaceae
Source: Rfam
UCUGCUAAUGAUUGCAUCGGAAAGUAUCGACGUGGUGAAUCCCCCUGAGCGGAGGGGCGGCCAGUCAGUUACAGUGAUCUAUAAAUGCAGCGCGAGCCAUGUAGACUGGGACUGGUUCACCGGGAGGCACCCGGCAUCACACUCGUUACUAAGCAAAUUCGUAGCAGGUUUAAUCCCCUUAUUAACCCUGCUAUGUUU